CUGCAGCCCGAGUGGUGGUCGUUUUUAUUGGGCCUAAAGCGUCCGUAGCCGGUCUAGUAAAUCCUUGGAUAAAUCGUACAGCUUAACUGUACGGCUCCCGGGGAGACUGCUAGACUUGGGACUGGGAGAGGUCGGAGGUACUCCAGGGGUAGGGGUGAAAUCUUGUAAUCCUUGGGGGACCACCAGUGGCGAAGGCGUCCGUCCAGAACGGGUCCGACGGUAAGGGACGAAGCCCUGGGUCGCGAACCGGAUUAGAUACCCGAGUAGUCC
RNAcentral lists this ribosomal RNA (270 nucleotides) under uncultured archaeon. RNAcentral describes it as "partial 16S ribosomal RNA". It matches the Rfam family "Archaeal small subunit ribosomal RNA", at positions 477 to 747 of the family's 1478-position model. The record is from RNAcentral.